ACCGGUAAGGCCCUCGGUCGGCAGGCCCGGAAAGCGCCGCCGUACCUCGUCCCGGCUCAGGAACCAGCCGGGCGGGAUCUGGCGCGCACGGUCGGCGAUGCCGCGAUUGCGGCCGAGCGUCAGCCCGUCAUAGAGCGCCAUGCCGGCGCGCAGCACGGGCUUGCUCUUCAUGCCCCUGCCGUAGGUCGGGAUCACGAUCGGCAGCGGGUGGGCCAAAUGCGGUGCCACCCGGAGGAAAGC
RNAcentral lists this unclassified non-coding RNA (240 nucleotides) under plant metagenome. RNAcentral describes it as "partial contains 5.8S ribosomal RNA, internal transcribed spacer 2, and large subunit ribosomal RNA". The record is from RNAcentral.